Molecule: ribosomal RNA, 476 nt
Filed under: uncultured bacterium
Lineage: Bacteria
Description: bacterial SSU rRNA
Rfam family: Bacterial small subunit ribosomal RNA
Source: RNAcentral
GUGGCGGCGUUGCUUAACACAUAGCAAGUCGAACGAAGCAUUUGCGACAGAUCUUUUCGGAGUGAAGCUGCAUAUGACUGAGUGGCGGACGGGUGAGUAACGCGUGGGUAACCUGCCUCAUACAGGGGGAUAGCAGCUGGAAACGGCUGGUAAUACCGCAUAAGCGCACAGAAUCGCAUGAUUUAGUGUGAAAAACUCCGGUGGUAUGAGAUGGACCCGCGUCUGAUUAGCUAGUUGGUGAGGUAACGGCCCACCAAGGCGACGAUCAGUAGCCGACCUGAGAGGAUGACCGGCCACAUUGGGACUGAGACACGGCCCCAGACUCCUACGGGAGGCAGCAGUGGGGAAUAUUGCACAAUGGAGGAAACUCUGAUGCAGCGACGCCGCGUGAGUGAAGAAGUAAUUCGUUAUGUAAAGCUCUAUCAGCAGGGAAGAUAGUGACGGUACCUGACUAAGAAGCUCCGGCUAAAUACGUG